AUUGAACGCUGGCGGCAUGCCUUACACAUGCAAGUCGAACGGUAACAGGUUAAGCUGACGAGUGGCGAACGGGUGAGUAAUAUAUCGGAACGUGCCCAGUCGUGGGGGAUAACUGCUCGAAAGAGCAGCUAAUACCGCAUACGACCUGAGGGUGAAAGCGGGGGAUCGCAAGUCCUCGCGCGAUUGGAGCGGCCGAUAUCAGAUUAGGUAGUUGGUGGGGUAAGAGCCCACCAAGCCAACGAUCUGUAGCUGGUCUGAGAGGACGACCAGCCACACUGGGACUGAGACACGGCCCAGACUCCUACGGGAGGCAGCAGUGGGGAAUUUUGGACAAUGGGCGCAAGCCUGAUCCAGCCAUGCCGCGUGCGGGAAGAAGGCCUUCGGGUUGUAAACCGCUUUUGUCAGGGAAGAAAAGGUUCUGGUUAAUACCUGGGACUCAUGACGGUACCUGAAGAAUAAGCACCGGCUAACUACGUGCCAGCAGCAGCCGCCG
Molecule: ribosomal RNA, 493 nt
Filed under: uncultured bacterium
Lineage: Bacteria
Description: partial 16S ribosomal RNA
Rfam family: Bacterial small subunit ribosomal RNA
Source: RNAcentral